Molecule: long non-coding RNA, 1841 nt
Filed under: Homo sapiens (human)
Lineage: Eukaryota; Metazoa; Chordata; Mammalia; Primates; Hominidae
Description: PREDICTED lncRNA (TCONS_00219806)
Source: RNAcentral
GGCCUGUCCUGGGGACCUGGCGAGGCCCGGCCUCUGCCAGCCAAGCCUGCUGGGGACGACCGAGGUAGCCCGGGCUCGGCUUAGGAAGGCAGCGGGACUCGAGGCCUUGGGGUCCGAGUCCGAACUCGCUCCUCUAGCGCCGGGCGGGGAGCGAGUGGGAGAGCGGCCGCGAAGCUCCAGUGUUGAAAACGCACCCCUCCCAGCUUUUUGCAAGGCCUACUUGGGGGCGGAGAGACAAGCAAGCUGUCAUGUUAUAAGCAGCCCUUUGAGGGGUCCAUGUGAUGUCAAGGAAUGAAGUCUCUAGCCAACAUUUAAUGAGGAACUGAGGCCCACCAACAACCUUGAGUGAGCUUGGAAGUAGCUCCUUCAGCAUCAGUUGGGUGUCGAGAUGACUACUGACAGCUUGACUGCAACUUCAUGAGAGUCUUCUGGACCAGAACCACUCAGUUAAGUGGCUCCCAGAUUCCUGAUCCUCAGAAACUCUGAGAAAUAAUGAAUGUUGGUUGUUUUAAAAUGGUAAAUUUUGAGGUAUUAUGUUAUGUGGCAAUAGAUAGCUAAUAUAUAAAUUAUUUGAAUCAAACAAUACGUUAAAUUAAAGCUCAGAAGAAUAAACAUCUGUAAUUCCUUAAUUUGUUUUCCCUUCUAUUCUACAGAAUAGAAUUUUACAGAUGAACCUUGUAGUUACUUGUGCAAUAAGAGACAGUAUGUUGUAUUGAUUAAGUGCAGAGCCUCUGGAUGUAUGAUAGAAGAAAGACCAAUAUUCAAUUGCUUUCUUCUUCAAUUCCAAGCUUGUGAGCUUGAGCAAAUUUUAAAAGUGUUUUAAGCCUCAGUUUCCUGGGAUGGUAGUGCUUAGCUCGAGCUCCUAGCAUAUAUUAACUACAAACUAAAUAUUAGCUAUAAUUAUUAGUUUUACUUUGAUUAUUGACUCUAAAUAAAUACCUUAAGAACUUUGUGUUCUCCACAGAUUUGGAUAUGUCUGGACGUUAUGUAGGCUGGAGUAGUCAGCAAUUACUUGCCUGAGGAAGGGAAGGCCUCCUCCUUUAAGAAAAGAAUAGGCUGGGUGCGGUGGCUCAUACUUGUAAUCCCAGCAUUUUGGGAGGCUGAGGAGGGUGGAUCACCUGAGGUCAGGAGUUUGAGACCAGCCUAAGGAACAUGGUGAAACCCUGUCUCUACUAAAAAUACAAAAAUUAGCCAAUUGUGGCACGCGCCUGUAGUCCCGGCUACUCAGGAGGCUGAGGUGAGAGGAUUGCCUGAGCCUGGGAGGUGGAGGUUGCAGUGAGCCGAGAUCGCGCCACUGCACUCCAGCCUGGGCAACAGAGUAAGACUCCGUCUCAAAAAAAAAAAAAAGAAAGAAAGAAAAGAGUAGAAGGCCCAAGCUUAGUCCAAUAUUAUAGCUUCAGCAUCAGAGUAGAGAAUGAUUCAGAGCAUCUGUCCAGUGUCUGCUGUAGAUCCCUCAAAUCCGUGUUUGGACGCUUCUGGUAAGGGGUGUAUGGCAGAUGCACCCGACAGAUGCACUUGGCAGCAAUAACUUAUGCAUACCUGAAGAAUGACCCUAUGGUCUAAGAAGAAUGUGUGUUCAGAGCUCCAAGCUAAGGAAUCUGGGAGUGGCCAACCCAGAUAUUUCAUUUCUUAUCUAUGACGAACUUCUGAACUGCUCCCACCCCCAGCCCAUCCUGUAGAAUGCAGGCCCUACGAGGCGAUCAAAGCCCUUUGUUUUAGGUUAAAUGAAGGUUGCCUGGUGGAGGUUGCUAGGGGAAAGGUGUUAAGUAAAAAUGUUAUAUAAACUGCAUGGUGUUUUUUGUUUGUUUUUGUUUUUUUGAGACAGAGUUUUUGCUCUUGUU